UACGUAGGGGGCAAGCGUUGUCCGGAUUUAUUGGGCGUAAAGAGCGCGCAGGCGGUCGUUCAAGUCGAGUGUGAAAGCCCCCGGCUCAACUGGGGAGGGUCACUUGAUACUGAUCGACUCGAAGGCAGGAGAGGGAAGCGGAAUUCCCGGUGUAGUGGUGAAAUGCGUAGAUAUCGGGAGGAACACCAGUGGCGAAGGCGGCUUCCUGGCCUGUUCUUGACGCUGAGGCGCGAAAGCUAGGGGAGCAAACGGG
Molecule: ribosomal RNA, 253 nt
Filed under: uncultured bacterium
Lineage: Bacteria
Description: partial 16S ribosomal RNA
Rfam family: Bacterial small subunit ribosomal RNA
Source: RNAcentral